GUUAGGAAUAUUGGACAAUGGGCGCAAGCCUGAUCCAGCCAUGCCGCGUGAACGAUGAAGGCCUUCGGGUUGUAAAGUUCUUUAGCCGAUGAUUAUAAUGACUGUAGUCGGAAAAUAAGCCCCGGCUAACUUCGUGCCAGCAGCCGCGGUAAUACGAAGGGGGCGAGCGUUAUUCGGAAUCACUGGGCGUAAAGCGUGCGUAGGCGGUCUCGUAAGUUAGGAGUGAAAGCCCAGGGCUCAACCUUGGAAUUGCACUUAAUACUGCAAGGCUAGAAUCUCGGAGAGGAUAGCGGAAUUUCCAGUGUAGCAGUGAAAUGCGUAGAUAUUGGAAGGAACACCAGUGGCGUAAGCGGCUAUCUGGACGAGUAUUGACGCUGAGGCACGAAAGCGUGGGGAUCAAACAGGAUUAGAAACCCUGGUAGUCC
RNAcentral lists this ribosomal RNA (425 nucleotides) under uncultured bacterium. Its description in RNAcentral is "partial 16S ribosomal RNA". It matches the Rfam family "Bacterial small subunit ribosomal RNA", at positions 354 to 796 of the family's 1533-position model. The record is from RNAcentral.